Molecule: ribosomal RNA, 2192 nt
Filed under: Salmonella enterica
Lineage: Bacteria; Pseudomonadati; Pseudomonadota; Gammaproteobacteria; Enterobacterales; Enterobacteriaceae
Description: partial 23S ribosomal RNA
Rfam family: Bacterial large subunit ribosomal RNA
Source: RNAcentral
GGGUUGUGAGGUUAAGCGACUAAGCGUACACGGUGGAUGCCCUGGCAGUCAGAGGCGAUGAAGGGCGUGCUAAUCUGCGAUAAGCGCCGGUAAGGUGAUAUGAACCGUUAUAACCGGCGAUACCCGAAUGGGGAAACCCAGUGUGAUUCGUCACACUAUCAUUAACUGAAUCCAUAGGUUAAUGAGGCGAACCGGGGGAACUGAAACAUCUAAGUACCCCGAGGAAAAGAAAUCAACCGAGAUUCCCCCAGUAGCGGCGAGCGAACGGGGAGGAGCCCAGAGCCUGAAUCAGCAUGUGUGUUAGUGGAAGCGUCUGGAAAGGCGCGCGAUACAGGGUGACAGCCCCGUACACAAAAGCGCAUAUGCUGUGAGCUCGAUGAGUAGGGCGGGACACGUGGUAUCCUGUCUGAAUAUGGGGGGACCAUCCUCCAAGGCUAAAUACUCCUGACUGACCGAUAGUGAACCAGUACCGUGAGGGAAAGGCGAAAAGAACCCCGGCGAGGGGAGUGAAAAAGAACCUGAAACCGUGUACGUACAAGCAGUGGGAGCCCCACCACUAAGCCAGUGGUGAACUCCACAUACGCAUCCUUUGCUGAGGAGACGGUUAACGGAGCGAAAGCGACGUUCAACCUCAAAAGAAGCAGAGGGGGCUUAGUGGUGGGGUGACUGCGUACCUUUUGUAUAAUGGGUCAGCGACUUAUAUUCUGUAGCAAGGUUAACUGUAUAGGGGAGCCGGAGGGAAACCGAGUCUUAACCGGGCGUUAAGUUGCAGGGUAUAGACCCGAAACCCGGUGAUCUAGCCAUGGGCAGGUUGAAGGUUGGGUAACACUAACUGGAGGACCGAACCGACUAAUGUUGAAAAAUUAGCGGAUGACCUGUGGCUGGGGGUGAAAGGCCAAUCAAACCGGGAGAUAGCUGGUUCUCCCCGAAAGCUAUUUAGGUAGCGCCUCGUGAAUUCAUCUCCGGGGGUAGAGCACUGUUUCGGCUAGGGGGCCAUCCCGGCUUACCAACCCGAUGCAAACUGCGAAUACCGGAGAAUGUUAUCACGGGAGACACACGGCGGGUGCUAAUGUCCGUCGUGAAGAGGGAAACAACCCAGACCGCCAGCUAAGGUCCCAAAGUCAUGGUUAAGUGGGAAACGAUGUGGGAAGGCCCAGACAGCCAGGAUGUUGGCUUAGAAGCAGCCAUCAUUUAAAGAAAGCGUAAUAGCUCACUGGUCGAGUCGGCCUGCGCGGAAGAUGUAACGGGGCUAAACCAUGCACCGAAGCUGCGGCAGCGACACCGUGUGUUGUUGGGUAGGGGAGCGUUCUGUAAGCCUGUGAAGGUGUGCUGUGAGGCAUGCUGGAGGUAUCAGAAGUGCGAAUGCUGACAUAAGUAACGAUAAAGCGGGUGAAAAGCCCGCUCGCCGGAAGACCAAGGGUUCCUGUCCAACGUUAAUCGGGGCAGGGUGAGUCGACCCCUAAGGCGAGGCCGAAAGGCGUAGUCGAUGGGAAACGGGUUAAUAUUCCCGUACUUGGUGUUACUGCGAAGGGGGGACGGAGAAGGCUAUGUUGGCCGGGCGACGGUUGUCCCGGUUUAAGCGUGUAGGUAUGUGUUCCAGGUAAAUCCGGUUCACUUUAACACUGAGGCGUGACGACGAGGCACUACGGUGCUGAAGCAACAAAUGCCCUGCUUCCAGGAAAAGCCUCUAAGCAUCAGGUAACAUCAAAUCGUACCCCAAACCGACACAGGUGGUCAGGUAGAGAAUACCAAGGCGCUUGAGAGAACUCGGGUGAAGGAACUAGGCAAAAUGGUGCCGUAACUUCGGGAGAAGGCACGCUGACACGUAGGUGAAGUGAUUUACUCACGGAGCUGAAGUCAGCCGAAGAUACCAGCUGGCUGCAACUGUUUAUUAAAAACACAGCACUGUGCAAACACGAAAGUGGACGUAUACGGUGUGACGCCUGCCCGGUGCCGGAAGGUUAAUUGAUGGGGUCAGCGCAAGCGAAGCUCCUGAUCGAAGCCCCGGUAAACGGCGGCCGUAACUAUAACGGUCCUAAGGUAGCGAAAUUCCUUGUCGGGUAAGUUCCGACCUGCACGAAUGGCGUAAUGAUGGCCAGGCUGUCUCCACCCGAGACUCAGUGAAAUUGAACUCGCUGUGAAGAUGCAGUGUACCCGCGGCAAGACGGAAAGACCCCGUGAACCUUUACUAU